This 1373-nucleotide ribosomal RNA is filed under the name uncultured bacterium. Its description in RNAcentral is "bacterial SSU rRNA". It matches the Rfam family "Bacterial small subunit ribosomal RNA". The record is from RNAcentral.
GAGUUUGAUCCUGGCUCAGGACGAACGCUGGCGGCGUGCUUAACACAUGCAAGUCGAACGAUGAAGCUGGAGCUUGCUCCGGUGGAUUAGUGGCGAACGGGUGAGUAACACGUGAGAAAUCUGCCCCUGACUCUGGGAUAACUGCGGGAAACUGUAGCUAAUACCGGAUACUUUCCCUGGUGGGCAUCCACUGGGGAAGAAAGAAUUUCGGUCAGGGAGGAUCUCGCGGCCUAUCAGCUAGUUGGUGAGGUAACGGCUCACCAAGGCGACGACGGGUAACCGGCCUGAGAGGGUGACCGGUCACACUGGGACUGAGACACGGACCAGACUCCUACGGGAGGCAGCAGUGAGGAAUAUUGCGCAAUGGACGAAAGUCUGACGCAGCCAUGCCGCGUGCAGGAUGACGGCGCUAUGCGUUGUAAACUGCUUUUAUAUGCCAAGAAACCUUCGGACGUGUCCGAAGCUGACGGUAGCAUAUGAAUAAGCACCGGCUAACUCCGUGCCAGCAGCCGCGGUAAUACGGAGGGUGCAAGCGUUAUCCGGAUUUAUUGGGUUUAAAGGGUCCGUAGGCGGGUCAUUAAGUCAGUGGUGAAAGCCGGCAGCUCAACUGUCGAACUGCCAUUGAUACUGAUGAUCUUGAAUACGGUUGAAGUUGGCGGAAUAGGUCAUGUAGCGGUGAAAUGCUUAGAUAUGACCUAGAACACCGAUUGCGAAGGCAGCCAACUAAGCCGUUAUUGACGCUGAGGGACGAAAGCGUGGGGAGCGAACAGGAUUAGAUACCCUGGUAGUCCACGCCGUAAACGAUGAUUACUCGGUAUUGGCAUUGUCAGUGCCCAAGCGAAAGUGAUAAGUAAUCCACCUGGGGAGUACGCCCGCAAGGGUGAAACUCAAAGGAAUUGACGGGGGCCCGCACAAGCGGUGGAGCAUGUGGUUUAAUUCGAUGAUACGCGAGGAACCUUACCAGGGUUUAAAUGCAGAACGACAGGGGUGGAAACACCCCCUUCUUCGGACGGACUGCAAGGUGCUGCAUGGUUGUCGUCAGCUCGUGCUGUGAAGUGUCGGGUUAAGUCCCAUAACGAGCGCAACCCCCAUUUCUAGUUGCCAGCGGUUCGGCCGGGGACUCUAGAGAAACUGCCAGCGUAAGCUGUGAGGAAGGUGGGGAUGACGUCAAAUCAUCACGGCCCUUACAUCCUGGGCCACACACGUGCUACAAUGGUGGGGACAACAGGUUGCCAACCCGCGAGGGUGAGCCAAUCCCAAAACCCCAUCUCAGUUCGGAUCGGAGUCUGCAACUCGACUCCGUGAAGUUGGAAUCGCUAGUAAUCGCGGAUCAGCCAUGCCGCGGUGAAUACGUUCCCGGGCCUUGCACUCAC